GAGAACACAUAACGUGUGCAUCAAAAUUAAAGCAAUGAAUAGUGCCCAGUAGCAAAUCAAUUGCAAUUAUAUAAUUAAGAAUAUACUCUCUGUAAAAACAUCUUGAAUUGAUAUAAUGAAGCAUAGAUAUGUUAUAAUCAAGAACCAAGUGGGAUGCAGUAAGCUUUCAUUGAUCAACAUCUAUAUAUGCCCAUCUAGUUUUGAUCAAUUUGAACUAAUGAAUAUACGAUUAUAUGAGUCAAUGAUCAGAAGGAGAAUUGAAGCGGUUUGAAGCGGGGUCGAAAUGGAAGCAUGACCGAGUGGGGUGCUGGGUGCAAUUUUAGAUGUCAGUGCAAUCAGGGGUAUAGUAGGAAAUAUAUAAUAAUAUUUUGUUUGCUGGGUAUACUAAGAAAUUUGGUUCUAUAUAUAUAGCAGCACCUUAUAAUUUCCCUGUGGGGGAUUCUCCUACACAAAAACAUGCGUGUAUGCGUUUUACCACUGGCAAAACCAAGACUGCUUCUUUUUGCCCCGACCCUUUUCCGCCACAGUCUGUUUAUUUCGCGCCCAAUCCUCGACGCAAAACCGUCGUUUCGUUUUUGAUGGGUUUCUUACUUUCUUUAUCUCCCAAAUCAAAAGGUAAAUGGGGUUCGUUUGUUACUUUCUUGCUCAUUGUAACAGGUAAGGGUGGUUCAUCUUCUACAUUGUCGUCUUUCCCGGAUCAUUUCUUAUUUGGGUACGUGCCAUUGAUUGUUCUUCUCAAGUUUUUGUUGAAAAGGAACGACCUUGGUUUAGUUCAUAUCAAUUACGGUGUGGGAAUUUGGUUUGCAGGGAAAACAUGAAAGAGAUUGUUUCCAUGCCCACCAGGUGUUCGACGUAAGUCCAAUGUGAGUGGAAUCAAGUUCCUUUUACCAUUUCAGUUUAUACUUGAAAGCUCAAUGAUUAUGCAAAUGUUUGCUUCCAAUUGUAUAUGUCUGUUUGUGCAUAAUUACUUUGUGAUGAAAAGUUUGCGUGUCGAGAUUGAAUACCUGCAUUGCAUAUAUGCACCUUUGUUAGUGAUAGAAAUCAUAGAACUUCAGUUUACUGGAAUAGUCGUAAUCAUGGGUAGACUACCCUCAGUUCCCCACUUUCCACCGCGCGCGCUUGUAUGUUAAGUAGUGAGAUUAUUUGGAAUUAGAAUGAAUAUACUUCAUCCUUGCUGAUCUGACUAGUUUUCUUGUUUAGCAAUAUUAGGUCCUUUCCAGUUUUCCAAUUUUAUUCUUAGGUAGAAGUUGUGUUCUUCUUCACUGUAUACUCAGGGAAUUGAAAGCUGAGUCUGCUGGAAUGGCAUUAGCUUUUGUAUCGACUUCUUGACUGUGCUUCAAAACAACUAAUAAACAGAAAGAACUUAGAAAAUAGUGAUCAGUGAUUGUAUUGGAAAUAAGAAAUCCUUUCACAUCUCUUAACAAAAUUGUGAGGGUACAAAGUUAGACAGUUGUACUAAUUAGAAUAAGGGUAUUACAUCACAGAUGAAGUUCUCACCCUUAGACCAAAUUAUUGUCUACAAUCAUACAUAUUUGCUAGGUACUUUUCUGGUUCAUUACAAUAAAAAUGGGCAUUCAUAUAAUUUGGGAAUGAGUGAGCACUCUUUAUCCAACUAACUAAAAGGGGAUUUAGAAGUUAGGUAUACUUGUUCCAGUCCUACAAACUAAUUUGAAACUUCAAGCUAUUGGCUGUGUCCAUGAGCCCCAACCACCGGACACUCGGACUUGGAUCUUAGACCCACCAUGAGAGUAAAAUCCAUGUCCGGGUGUCUGGUCUUCGCGGCUCACGGUUUGGGGCUAGUGCUCAGAGUUUGGAACCCUAAACUUGAGUGAACCUGUACCUCUGGGAUAAGCACUCUUGACCUCUUAGUUUCCGUUCCAUUAUGAAUUUAAAAGGAGCAGUCUCAUGCCCCCAACAUAACGGAAUGUGCAUUUAGAGAUCAGCAAUUCUUCUAGUUCACUCAAGCUUAGGAUUCCAAACUCUAGGCACUGACCCCAAACCCCCAAAACCUUCACAAAAUGUUUUUGAAUCUGACGAGUGACUUCUUGAUAAUUCUGAAGUAUGGAUCCUCUGAAACAGGUACAAACUUCACAGCCCAACCAAGUGGCCAUGAUACAGAUGCUAUUACGAUACAAACUACCCAUUGCUGAACAUUCAACUUUUCUGUAUCUGCAAACUUCUUCAGAAACUCCACCAUCACAACUUGAAGAACAAUAGUUACCCCCACA
Molecule: long non-coding RNA, 2228 nt
Filed under: Fragaria vesca (wild strawberry)
Lineage: Eukaryota; Viridiplantae; Streptophyta; Magnoliopsida; Rosales; Rosaceae
Description: long non-coding RNA (FVES_LNC000744)
Source: RNAcentral